UUGUGUGUACCCCUUCUCCUUCCUUUUAGAACUCACUGAAAACCUUCAACUGGAAAUUUUUCUCCGGCAGUUGUAACUUUUUUCUCAUUCCACUACCUCCCUCUUCUAUAUUUCGUCCUUUUCUUACCAACAAAGCAAGAACCACUAAAAUGUAAAAAUUUCAGAUCUGAGCUUACCAAACGUUGCUUUGAAUGGCAAAUCAAUAUUGGUUUGAUCUUAUUUACCAAUAAUUUAAUUUAUUUGAACUUUGACUUGAAAAUUUGAUUGCAAGAUUGCUGGCCAAAUAAUCUUUUUCUUCAUAAAAAAAUUUGUCUCUGCAAUUCUCUAUGAUUUGCACAGGUAAGAGAUGAGAUUGAGGUAAAGAGGAAGAAAAUGGCUAAUAUAGAUCUUAUUUACUUGUCCAUCAACAUCCUAUUUUUCUUAGUGAUUUUAUUAUCAUCUCCACCUCCAUCGACGGUCCACCCAUUGCAGCUAUUCCUUCCCCUCCUAUGGCGAUUUUUUUAUUGUGGUGAAGAAAUGAUCUUUGAUUUUGUUGGGUACUAAGUGGUAAAAGGCACUUGUGGUGAAAGAUGAUAAAAAUGGUGGAGCAAUAGCAAAAAGUGAAACUGGGAAAUAAAGAAAAGAAAGGAGAGGGGAGGUCGUGGGUGAAAAGCGGGAGGGAGAAAGUAGGACCUAGCAAGCAGAUGGAGUCAAAAGAGGAUGAAGUUAGUAUUAUGGUGGGCAAUAGGCUAAAAGCGAAAGAAGAAUUUAUAGGACUGUUAUUUUGUCUUUUCAAAAUAUUUUCUAGUAUUUGUUUAGAAAAGUACUAUCUGUAUCGUCUAUGAGACGGAAGUUAAUUUCUGUUUCACUUUUCGGCAAGUCUGGUUAUUUGUUUCAACUACAUAAUGGUUUUAUUAAACUUUUUUAUGAUUCA
Nicotiana attenuata is the source of this 913-nucleotide long non-coding RNA. RefSeq lists it as uncharacterized. NCBI's taxonomy places the organism in Eukaryota, Viridiplantae, Streptophyta, Magnoliopsida, Solanales, Solanaceae. The record is from RefSeq and is a predicted model, not a curated record. The transcript is spliced from 2 exons.